AUUUGCUGUUGUGUGAAAUUGUUAACCGCUCACUUCCGCUCGUCGGUCGCUGCCCACUGUAGUCGCCAUUGUAGCACGUGUGUAGCCCAACGCGUAAGGGCCCUGAAGACUUGACAUCAACCCCACCUUCCUCCGGCUUAUCACCGGCGGUUCCUUUAGAGUACCCAACUUAAUGCUGGCAGCCAAAGGCGAGG
Molecule: ribosomal RNA, 194 nt
Filed under: uncultured bacterium
Lineage: Bacteria
Description: partial 16S ribosomal RNA
Source: RNAcentral